Molecule: ribosomal RNA, 558 nt
Filed under: uncultured bacterium
Lineage: Bacteria
Description: bacterial SSU rRNA
Rfam family: Bacterial small subunit ribosomal RNA
Source: RNAcentral
AACGCUGGCGGCGUGCCUAAUACAUGCAAGUCGAGCGGUAAGGCUCCUUCGGGAGUACACGANCGGCGGACGGCAGAGUAACGCGUAGGAACGUACCCCAAACUGAGGGAUAAGCACCAGAAAUGGUGUCUAAUACCGCAUGUGCUCCUCGGAGUAAAGCUUCGGCGGUUUGGGAACGGCCUGCGUAUGAUUAGCUUGUUGGUAAGGUAAAAGCUUACCAAGGCGACGAUCAUUAGCUGGUCUGAGAGGAUGAUCAGCCUGACUGGGACUGAGAACGGCCCAGACUCCUACGGGAGGCAGCAGUAGGGAAUUUUCCACAAUGGGCGAAAGCCUGAUGGAGCAACGCCGCGUGCAGGAUGAAUGCCUUCGGGUUGUAAACUGCUUUUAUAUGUGAAGAUUAUGACGGUAGCAUAUGAAUAAGGAUCGGCUAACUCCGUGCCAGCAGCCGCGGUCAUACGGAGGAUCCAAGCGUUAUCCGGAAUUACUGGGCGUAAAGAGUUGCGUAGGUGGCAGAGUAAGUUGAUAGUGAAACCGUACGGCUCAACCGUAUACACAUUA